AACGCGUAUGCAACCUACCUCAAUCAGGGGGAUAGCCCGAAGAAAUUCGGAUUAACACCGCAUAAAAUCACAGGAUAGCAUUAUCUAAUGAUCAAAUAUUUAUAGGAUUGAGAUGGGCAUGCGUGUCAUUAGUUAGUUGGCGAGGUAACGGCUCACCAAGACCACGAUGACUAGGGGAUCUGAGAGGAUGACCCCCCACACUGGUACUGAGACACGGACCAGACUCCUACGGGAGGCAGCAGUAAGGAAUAUUGGUCAAUGGAGGCAACUCUGAACCAGCCAUGCCGCGUGCAGGAAGACAGCCCUCUGGGUCGUAAACUGCUUUUAUUCGGGAAUAAACCUACUUACGUGUAAGUAGCUGAAUGUACCGAAGGAAUAAGGAUCGGCUAACUCCGUGCCAGCAGCCGCGGUAAUACGGAGGAUCCAAGCGUUAUCCGGAUUUAUUGGGUUUAAAGGGUGCGUAGGCGGCUUAUUAAGUCAGGGGUGAAAGACGGUGGCUCAACCAUCGCAGUGCCCUUGAUACUGAUGAGCUUGAAUACACUAGAGGUAGGCGGAAUGUGACAAGUAGCGGUGAAAUGCAUAGAUAUGUCACAGAACACCGAUUGCGAAGGCAGCUUACUAUGGUGUUAUUGACGCUGAGGCACGAAAGCGUGGGGAUCAAACAGGAUUAGAUACCCUGGUAGUCCACGCCCUAAACGAUGAAUACUCGCUGUUAGCGAUACACAGUUAGCGGCUAAGCG
Molecule: ribosomal RNA, 740 nt
Filed under: Pedobacter steynii
Lineage: Bacteria; Pseudomonadati; Bacteroidota; Sphingobacteriia; Sphingobacteriales; Sphingobacteriaceae
Description: bacterial SSU rRNA
Rfam family: Bacterial small subunit ribosomal RNA
Source: RNAcentral